CUUCACAACACACGAUCACCACCAAUCACCACCACCCCGCCUCCACUACCCGCCACCACCACCCUCACCCCCACCUACACAGAUUUGUUAUUGUGUUUUUGAUUCGUUAGGUUUUCUCUUGUAUAUAAUCACAUAUGAUUAUAUGUGUCGAGUCACAUGUUGUUAUAUGUAUCGAAUUAUAUAUGAUUUAUAUGUUAUUAAAUACAUAUAAUCACAUGUGAUUAAAUACACGUGAAAAACUAGUGAAUCGAGAAUGCAAAAAUGAAUAUUGUCCACAUAAAUCAUAUGUGAUUAGAUACAUAUAACUAUAUGUGAUUAUAUGUAUUUAAUAAAAUAUUAUUUACGUGGGCCAUAUUUAUUUUCCUGUUUCGAUUUAAUAAUUGGCAUCGUGUAUUAAAUCACAUGUGAUUGUAUGUAUUUAAUCACAUAUGAUUUAUAUGGACAAUAGUUGUUUUCACGUGUUGAUUCAAUAGUUGUUCUUGUGUAUUUAAUCAUAUGUGAUUAUAUAUAUUUAAUCACUUAUGAUUCGUAUGGAAAAUGUUUAUUCUUGCAUCGAUUCAAUAAUUGAUCUAAUAUAUUUAAUCACAUGUGAUUAUAUGUAUUUAAUCACAUAUGAUUUAUGUGGACAAGAUUCAUUUUCCUUCUUAAUUCAAUAGUUGUACUCAUGUACUUAAUCAAAUCUGAUUAUAUGUAUCAUAUCGCAUACGAUUUGUAUUGAUAAUAUUCACGAGUUAAUAUUUUUUCUUAUGUAUUUAAUCAUAUGUGAUUUUAUGUAUUAAUCACAUAUGAUUAAUGUGGAAAAAGAAAAACUAUUUAAUCAAAAACGAGAAAAUGAAUCUUGUGUAUAGAAAUCAUAUAUGACUAAAUGUACAAGAAUAAUCAUUGAACAAGAAUGUGAAAAUGAAUAUUGUACAUAUAAAUCAUAUCUAAUUAGAUGCAUAUACUCUCAUGUAAUUAAGCACACAAGAACAACAACUGAAUCGAGAACGCGAAAAUAAAUAUUUUCCACAUAAAUUCUAUGUGCUUAGAUACAAAUAAUCACAUGUGAUUAUAUGCAUUUAAUCACAUAUGAUAUAUGUGGAUAAUAUUGAUAUUUGUGUUCUCGAUUCAAUAGUUUUUCUCGUGUAUAUAAUCAUAUGUGAUUAUAUGUAUCUAAUCACAUAUGAUUUAUUUAGGCAUCAUUAUUUUUUGUCAAUAUAAAUCAUAUGUGAUUAGAUACAUAUAAUUACAUGUGAUUAUAUGUAUUUAAUCAUAUAUGAUUCCAGUUGACAAAGAACGAUUACUGAAUCGAGAAUGUGACAAUGAAUCGUAUCCACAUAAAUCAUAUAUGAUUGGAUAUGUGAUUAAUUACACAAAAGCAAUUAUUCAAUCGAAACCACAAAAAUAAAUAUUGUCUACAUAAAUCAUAUAUGAUUGGAUACAUAUAAUCACAUGUGAUUACAUGUAUUUAAUCAUAUAUGAUUUAUGUAGACAAUAUUUAUUUUUGUGGUUUCAAUUGAAGAAUUGCUUUUGUGUAAUUAAUCACAUGUGAUUAUAUGUAUAUAAUCACAUAUGAUUUGAGGUGGACAACAUUCAUUUUUCCCUUCUAUAUUCAAUAGUUGUGCUCAUGUACUUAAUCACAUACGAUUAUACAUAUAAUCACAUGUGAUAAAAUACAUGAGAAAAACUAUUAAAUCGACACAGCAAAAAGGAAUUAUGUCCACAUAAAUCAUAUGUGAUUAGAUUCAUAUAAUCAUAUGUGAUUAUAUCUAUUUAAUCACAUAUGAUUAAUUUGGAUAAACAUUUGUUUUCACAAUAUUGGUUCAAUAUUUGGUAUAUUGUAUAUAAUUACAUGUUAUCGUGUAUACAAUUACAUUUAAGGACCAAUUGGAUAUUAACCUAAUUAUAAAGUCAAAUAGUCAAGAAAAUAUACCUAUUUCAAACGUGUAGUGUGGUUUCUCCACCUGAUGGUGCUUUUUUUUUUUUAUUUUUUUUUAUUUUUUUUUAUUUUUUGGCAAUGGCUUCCACAUCAUUUCCUCUAUUUACAAAUUGCAUCAUCCUUUCCAUAGUAUUGUUCUCAUCCAACAAUAAUCAACAGUUCAACGCACAUUAGCUUCCAAACUAAUUAGUUACAUAUAAUCAUAUAUGAUUUUGUUUAUCUAAUCACAUAUGAUUUAUAUGUAUAAUAUUCGUUUUUAAAUUCUCGAUUCAAUAUUUUCUCAUGUAUUUAAUCACAUGUGAUUAUAAGUAUUUAAUCAGAUACCAUUAAUAUGGAUAAUGUAUAUUUUUUUGCUUUAUCAUUCCAAUAAUUGUUUUUGUGCAUUUAAUCACAUGUUAUAUGUAUUUAAUCACAUAUGAUUUAUGUAAACGAGAUUCAUUUUUACAUUUGAAAUUCAAUUAUUAUUCUCAUGUAUGUAAUCACAUGUGAUUAUAUGUAUUAAUCACAAAAUAUUAUAUGUCAUUAAAAAUAAAACCAAUUAUAUUUAUAUGAUUUAUUUUGUACAUACAAAAUGUUCUAGAAACGUUAUUUUCUAUUUGUAAAAUACAUUUUUAUGAACUACUAUCCUUUUUAAUCUAUAUAAUUUCAUUUCUUAUAUAUUUUUCAAAAUUUAAAUUAAUUAUUUACUUGAUGUAUCCAAUAUGCAAAAGAAAUAGAUGCCCCAUUCAAAAUAUUAAACCCGCUAGAAUAAGCCAAAACUUAGCUUCAUAAUUUUUGAAGGGUUUUCUAUUUAGAUUUUAUUUUUUUGUACAUUUUAAUUUAGUUUUGUUUAAACAUUAAGCAUUAUUUGUAGAAGGUUUGCUCGCUUUACGAAUAUCAUCAAAUAGUUGGAAUUUUAAAAUUUUAAAGUGUAUAAAAUAUAAUUUUAUGACAUUGUCAAAACCUUGGAUAUCCAAAUUAACAUCUAAUGCAUUAAUAAUAAAAACAAGGAGCAAUUACUAAUCUAACCAAAUUAAGGAAGUCAUUAGUAAUUUAUAGUAAAAAAUUAAUAAAUGUCUAAAUAUAGCCCACGAAACCUACGGUUUCGAUAUUCGUCUAUUGUUUCGUGUUUUGUAUAAUUUUUUUUCAUUUUUAGGAUAAAAAACCAUAGGUUUUUAAAACCUACAGUUUCCUCUUGAAACCUUCGGUUUCCCAAACCGUAGCUAUGGUUUUUAGUAAAAAAAAUACCGUUUUUUUUUUUUUUUUUUUUUUUUUUUUUUUUUUUUUUUAAAUCUACUGUUUUGGGGGUUUUAACUACAAAAAAAGGGAAACCGUAUGUUUUAAAAAUCUUACGGUUUUGUAUCCUAAAAAUGAAAAAAAAAAUUAUACAAAACUCGAAACAGUAGACGAUUUGGCGAAACAAUAGUCAACCUAUAGUUGACUACUCUUUUGUGGGCUAUUUUUGGCUAAAGAGUUUUUUUUUUGCUAUUUUUUGAUAAAUAAUUAAGGAUUUUGGCUAGAUUUAUAUUUUCCCCUAAAAAUAAAUUAUGAAGGCUAUUGGAAUCAAAAUUAAAUGAAUGCGUCGACAUAUGCUAAAACGAGCUCAUUAUUGUAUAAAGAAAAAACUAAUAAAAUAGUACACAAAUCUAAAGAAAACAUAUGUGAAGUGUAUCUUACUUUUAAAUAUAUAAAAAAAAAAGCAUUUAAUAAAAAAAAUAUAUGCACAGUGAAAAGAAAGGGCAUUAAGGAAAUGACCAAUGUAAAGUAGGCAUGAAUGAUGAAACGCCGACCUCAAGCAUCAAGCAUUGAUAAUUUUAUAUUAUAACCUAUCAAAUAAAUCCAUAAAAAAAAACCUUGUUUCAGAUAUAGUCUCUAGACACAAACAAAAUAAUCGGCGCGUACCUAAACAGAUGGAUUUGAGGGGACGUUCUUGUUGCUGCAUUUCCAAUUUGGUGACUUUUCUUCUGAAAUCAGAGACGAUUCACGAUGAUUCCUUUACAACGGAAGGCAGUUCACAAACGUGAAUGUUCGGAUCUUUUGGUGGGACGUUUUUACUACUGAAUCGAGAUAGCUUAGGGUUUGAAGUCCUUUUGUGCUUUACAAAUCUGGAUCUAGGAAGUAUGUUUCUAAUUGAAGGAAAAAAAUACUUCUAGAUCAACAUUGUUGAUAGUUCCCUGCGUUAGACUUCAAAUUUUUCUUCACUAAGUGAGGAUACGUGAUUUAGUGCGUGUUCGUAAGGCAGAUGGGGGAGCAUUUGAGUUGAAAUUCAAAAAACGAUUUUGCUCUUGUGGCUGUAGAAGGUUAGAACAGGAAAAGGGGAAACAACAUCCGAUGAUAGUAGCCGAUGUACCAAGAUCUGGUGAUGGUUCCAGAAGAUGAGAGGUAGACGAAGAUGGAUUUCGAUUAUGAGAGGUGGUGUUGCAGAUUUGGAAGGAUUUAAAAGGCGGAAGUUUGUUGAUCCAACAACGAUAUGGUGGCGAUAAGGUUAUUACACCGGAGGUCCGACAAUUCAGAGGUGGUCAGACGUCUGAAGGCUGGUGGUUCCCGACGGUUUCCGGUGGUGGUCCGAUACUGUCAAUUUAGGUCUGUAUGAGAGGAGAGAGAAUGACAUAAUAUGGUGGGGGAAGUUAGGUUGGAUAAUUUGUAUUUGAAUAACAAAAAAGCGUGUUUUUUUGAACUCAUAGGUUAAAAAAUGUUCUCAAAUGUUUUCACGGGAAAAAUGUUCUCAUUGGAACUGAUGAAUCAAUGAAUUGAGUAUGAUAUUAAUCAGAAUUGAUUUUGAAGAAUGAAUGAGUAAGUGAACACAAGAUGUAAAUAUGAUUUCGCUUCAGCUCUAUUACGCUUUGAAUGUUUUACAGAGAAAAUAGACAAGGC
Molecule: long non-coding RNA, 4771 nt
Filed under: Lactuca sativa (garden lettuce)
Lineage: Eukaryota; Viridiplantae; Streptophyta; Magnoliopsida; Asterales; Asteraceae
Description: long non-coding RNA (LSAT_LNC010186)
Source: RNAcentral